ACUAUGAAAAAAAAUGCGAUUUAUAGUCCGAAAAGUACGGUAGUUUCAAAUUUAAGUGUUUGGAGUCCAAGACGAGCCAGAAUGACAGCAAUUUGUCCAUUUCUUGUUAAAAGCCGUGACAUAUAAAAAAAAUGUUACCCAAAGAAUAUUAGGACCAUUUGGAGUUGAUUGAUCAACAAGUCUAGAACUUUCCCAGUGGAGCACCCGAGCUGGUCUACCAUUGAUUCUCCAAAAUCGGGAAUUCCCAAAUAUUUCGUUUCCUUGGUGCCUCAACGACUCGUGAGUCACGCUUGAUUCCGCGCUCGGGCGUCACCCAGACUGCACGAUAAACAAAUGGGCUUCUCGCUCUUCCUACCUUCUCUUUAGAUGUGCAACAGGGGGGCUCGCAAACGAGGAGGAACCAGCCCUUGAUGCCAGGCCGCGCAACCUUUUGAAGGUCACAAAAAUAUUGGGGCGUUUCGAAAUGCAGACGACUGCUCUUAUUUUAAAUUACCGGAAUAUCUUGACUCGACGUUUAAAAUGGAUUAUCUGGGAAAGCUCAGCAUUAGCGGUUGUUUCCGAACAGGAUAUUGCUUUGUAUAUUUCAGCGGCUAAUUUAUAUCCAUCAUUUUGAGGGAGAUGAGCUCGUAUCAGGGCACGCUCCUUUGAACCUCUCUCCAAGUAGAUUAAGAAAAAAAAAGAAACAUCUCGUGCAUAUGUUUAUGAUUAAAAGCAAACCGACGUGAGGCCAAGCCAGACAAAAAAUUAAGAAAAACAGCUGCUCGACUCUGCUGAGACGUAAACAACUUUACGCUGAUGCAAUUAUGCUAAUUCUAAGACUGUACGUUUAUUUUGAUAAUAAAUCUUGGGCUGCGCUCGAGUAGCUUUGCAUGACUCACUGCUAAAAAUUGAUUUCAAAAGUGAUUGUACUCGACGUUAUUUCCACCUUAAUAAAUAAAGGUCACAUCCUUUGUCUUGGACCAUUUCCCAAAAGAAUGCAGUGGGAUUUUAUACUAAAAUACUAUAAUUAGUAAAUGACUACCUACAUUUAAUCUUAAUUAAAGCAAAAUAGUAAAAUAUAAUAAUAAUCAUAAUAAUUAAAAGGUAAAAAAAAAAGUUUUAUUCUCUGACUUAACAUUUGUACUUGCUGAGCCUGACACCGUCUGGCAGCGAGAUCUACGACAUAUUUGACCAACUUUGACUGUAAAUAGUCUUCCAUGACAAACAUUUGCGUUUUCCAAUACACCGGUGAAUGAAUGUGGUCAAAAAAAAUAUUCGCUAAUCGCACCUGUGGGAUUGAACAACACAUUUAAUGUGCAACGGCUCAGCAGCGUAUAUGUCUAAACUUGGGCUACAUUGUUAAUGCUGCAGAGGAUUGUUGAUUGGUUUUGACAGUAAUAGCGUUUUAAUCGAAGCCAGAUGUGGCCACCACACGUAUGUAUUUUGUACGUACAUACCAACGACACUUUUGCUAGCAGUGUAAAAUAAAGCACCAUAUAUUUAUUUUUUAUGCUAGCUGAAAACGCUGAAAUGCUACACCCGGGAUACAAGGUAGACAGAAUUAAUUUAAAGUGCUCCAAAAAUGGCCCAAAAAGUGUAUUUGAAUCUGCUUCUUAUAAAAGCUUAAACAUUCAAGACUCAAAUUGAGCAUCAAGUCAAAAGUUGCUAACGUGACAAUUGUAACCUUCAAAGUCUAAAACUGUGGUUUCUGCAUGACGUUAAAGUUUCGAUGCUUAACAUUGGCAGACUUUUUUACAGUUUGCCCAAAGGCUCUUGAAAAUGUCAAUUUUUGUCACACAUUCUUUUAUUUUAACAUUAUACUCUCACCCAAAAACAACAAAUAUAAUCAUCUAUGUUAAUAGAGUAUUGCUGGAAUAGAAAUUAACCCUAAUCACUAUUAUCUAACCAAAAUCCCUAGCUAAUCAAUACAUCGGAAAAACAAUCUUGUCAUUUUUUUGCACAUUACUGGAUCUCAAUCCAAUCAUUUAGGCGUAACUUGACCAAACGUCCACGGCAGAAGAUUGUUUUCUAUGUAGACUGACACUUUGUACAAAUUCAACCUUCUGGAAAUGUCUUCUCCGAGUGAGUUUCUUUCAGAAAGUGUUUCCUGGAAUUCGAUAAUGAUCAUCACUAUUGAUUCCAAGUUUGUCUCUAAAUUCGCAGAAUUUUGUACCAGGCUGAUAGAUGACAUCUGGAGCGAUUGGUUUGCCAUUUCAAAAAAUGUCUGCUCUUGAAAGUCGCUUUCAUCUGACUUCAAAAUCUGCCCAUCCUAAGAAAAGUAGUUCUUUGUUGCACAGGGCAGUGACGACACUGCCACUGCGACGUCUUCGCUAUUAUCUCUCCUGAUAGAGUUGUCGUAGCGUGAAUGACCGCACGACACAAUGGCUUCGUUGUGCCCUCGCCGCACUUGUGAUGUUGUCCACCUCUUUGUAUAUUUUCUUCAAAUAAAAAGCAAUCUCCUGGUAGAGCUUUUAAUCCUGCCACAUUUGUGGUCACUCAUCUCAUCCUGACAUUAUAACAAGGAAAACCCCCAAACAUUUCCUGCCUGCUUUUGAUUUUGAAGAGAUGUCUUUGGGAACGUACUUGGCCUGUCCUUGUCUUUGCAACCGAUUGCGACCUUCAAUGGGGACAGAAAAAGAAAAUCGGAAUUCGCUACCUUCCCAAGUUCAGUGGGGUACCGACGUAAAGUUUCAGCUCAUAAGUUGAAGCAAAAAAAUCAUUUUUCGAGGACCCGGUCAAUUAUCUCAGCCGUCAUCGGCUUUGAGUCGUCAGAGGAGAACAAGUUUACCUUUGGUCAUCUUUGAACAUUGACUCCAACGAAGAGCUGACGUUGUUUCUAAGAAAAAUAAUUGACUGUGAAAGAUUUGUUUCUAAAUCCUUGAGGUCAUCUUUUCCCCUGGCUUAUUCUUAUUCAAAGAAUUAGCUGUGACUUUCUUUCACUUCCUUUUCAUCUUUUUCAAAGAGCCUCCUGCCGUGUUAACAACCAGCUUCUCUGAUCUUCUUGGAUGAGACUUUGUAGCCACCUCCAAACAAAUCAGUUGCCAUGCAGUCGAGGCAUUGAGAGUCCAGACGAUAUAAAUAAGUUUCCAAAUGUAGGUUGUGCCCCAUUGUAAAAGUAAAUAAUCAAGGAAAGUGCAGAUAUCUGUCAAAUCCAGAGGAGCAUUUGUAAAGCGCAGGUGAGCUGAGGGACAAACUGCAAAUUGUUGCUUUCAGCCAUCGAGAGAAGUUCAUUUCCUUGAAUUAUUGGCCCCUCUUGAAUGACCGCUUCCUCUCCAGACAUUCACUUCUCUUUUUCAUAAUAAUCGCGCUGGAAUUCCUCUCAGGAGUGCGCCUCCAUCGUGACCUGCGGCGACAUCGGCAAUAUCCUCCCCUUAACCUCCGGAGGCCCCUCCAGAGGCAAAAAUUCAUCAGAGUAUAGCCGAGAGCAAAAUGUCAGGGUAGGUUUUUAUUGAUGGCCGCCACCCGUCGCGGUCCUCCUCGGCCUGUGUUUUCACCAGUGUCCACGUGUCUAUUUGAUUGCAUGCUCUUUGUCCCUAGCAAAGAAAAUCACAAAGACAAAGCUCAUUCCUGGGGCGCGUGUUUUCAAUUUCUCCACCAAAGCAAGUGAUUUGUAUGGACCAGCGGCGAUAAGUCACUGUCGGCAAAUCAGAGUGGCUUUUCAUGGCCAUGCGCUUUCAUGUGACCUUAACCGUUAAAAGACGGUAUGCUUUCAUAUUUAGCAUGAUCUUGCCUUGGAGGCACCUGCUCAAUUAGCUGAUGUCACUACCUACGUAUUUCUCUUUGACCAUGUGCUCAAACUUCUUUUUGGGCUUCAGUCAUCUGAUGUGAUUGUUCAUGAGAUUUAGGGCUGUGUGAUUCAAGAAAGACAAAUCCACAGAGAACCAUCGAUCAAUGAUUGUUGAUCAUCAGAAGAGCCCUAAAUAGGUGGCGGUGAAGCGCAUAGGUUGACAGAAGCAUUCCCACACAAUUUGGAAUGGGCUUUUCAUUUGUAGUUCUAUUGGAAAUUUACCAGAUGUGAUCAGAUCAUGUCUCGGUGAAGCAGCAUGUGGCUCUUUGCCCAAGGUUGUUUUCAUUCUCUCUUCUCCAAGUAGCUGUCAACCACAUGUUGUGUAUGAGUAAGAGGUGGUCGGUUUUUGUGUAAGUACGACAGCAGCUGCCUCACUCAACGGGAGACUUUUGUGUCUGCUCUGUACAACCUCGCGGAAUCCCGCCGGACGAGAAUGACAAAGACGAUUCUUGCUGUUUCUCAGUUUUAUUGUAGAAAAUGUUCACAUAAUUUAACAUCAUACAAGUUGAAGAUGCUAAAUAUACAAACUAAUCAUUCUCCAUUAGGGUUUUAGCACAACGUGACCAAUAUUGUUAGUGCUAAUAGUGAUGUUAUCGUGCUAACGUAAUGAGAUGCCAUUCUGUCAAUUCGAGGCACGACAUUUAGAGGCUGUUUUUACAUAUUGUGCUUUAAAUGCCACAACUUGCUGCCUGAUUUAAAAUAAUCUUCAACCAAUGUUCAUAUGUUAGCGCUCACGCUAAUGGUCAGCCACUGUUAUUGUACAACAACGGAAAUAAGCUAAUGCUAUCACCGCAAGAGAGGUGUCCUAAUUGGUCCAUAUUAACGCAAUAGCUAAUGUAGCAUCUGUUUAAUUUUAUUGCUCUUAUUGCAAAGUAGUACAUAUUAGCGUGGAAAUUUCUGUCUAAAUUUUUGGAGAACUCUGAUUUUCUUUUCUGGAGCAAAAACAUCUCGAUGGAAAAUAUUUGAAAAGCACUGAAAAGGAUUCAGUUUGACCUGGCAAAACUAAUAAAACACUGGAUAAUAUUUCUUUGCAGGAUUAACGUCUGGCACUAAUGACGCUGUUUGAGUGCUGCGGGGUAUUGUUUUGCGAGGGAGAACAAGCCAGCGUCAAUAGAAAAUCGAGAAAAAAAAAAAAAGGCACCCAAUAGCCGAGCGCCGAACCUUUCCGAUGGAUCAGACAAUUUGGAGCCGUUUGCGAACUCCCAUCGCUCUCGCAGCCUGGAUACAGACAAAUACACAUCGGAGCGCCAAAACAAUGCCUUAAUGGACCAUCAAUCAGAUGCGUCAAAUCGGCCAUCUUUGAUCCGAAGUUUCACACAUGUUCAGCUGCACGGCCUCUGAAGACAAAUCACAGGCUGUCUCUUUGUGAUCUAUUAUCAGAUGGACUCGUCGUAUCGUAGUGUGUUUUUUUUAACGGCGUGAUUUAUAGGACAAAAGGCUGCCGUCGCCGUAAAAGUCUCACGUUUAGCAACAAAGACGAAACCAUCAAACACUUCAUGCAGGUGCACUUAUAUAUAUAUAUCAACAAAACAUCUUGGGUUUUUUUCAUACAGACUUGUAAUAGUUGCUAAAAUGUCUUUUGUUGCCAAAUGUUGAGUUUUUUUUUGUGUGUAUGUCUCUCAAAGUCGUCAAAGGGAGUCGUGGCGGGGCACAUUUUGUCAGGCCCAGAAUCGAACCUUGAGAAGCAGCCUAAAUGUCUGUGGUCAGCGGCACAAUAGAGAUGAUCCUGUCCUUAGGCGAGGAUGAGACAGCAACAAAAGUGACAAAACAUUUCCGCUGCUUUGAGGCGACGUGAAACCAAAUCCUUCUACCUGAAGCAAUGCAAGGUGUUGUCUGGGCAGCAUUUUUUUUUUUUUUUUUUUUAGGUUGGGUUACUUUUUAAAAAAAUCUUUAUUUCCUGCACCCUGCAUUUGUGGCAGACAAUUUUUGCUCCAAUGACAAUUGGAGAGGUCACAUGACCAAACAGAGCUAAACACUAGAUUAUCAGAGUGAUCUCCUAAGUGACUUUAUGUCAAUGUUUGUUUUUCAAGGUAGCUCCUCUGUGGUGACCAUUGGAUUUGAUCAUAUGCACCAGUCAGUCUGGAUUCCUUGUUGCAGCAUGCUGCCUCUGACUGGCAAGUCUCGGUACUACAACAGCCACGACGUCUGGUUUGCCGACUUGCUCAUCUGGAGUACACUGCGCAACAUGAACGGUUGUGCAGCUUUAUUUAUACGUACUCGGAAACUGGACGGGAGAUCAAGGAAACCAGCAGACCAUUUGCACAUCCAGCCACAGCGAUUGGAAUCUGCGUUCAAUCAGCUUAUUUAUCCUCCCAUUUGCGAGCUUGACCGUGUGGGUGUGUGAUUGUGUCACCGUUCCAGUUUGACGCAUUGUUUCCAACAAAGUCCCUGACUACUCGCUGCAAAUUGGGGAUCAAAGGCCGGCGCAACAUCCAAGACAAAUAGCAGCGUAGGCGGGAGGGCGGGACGGAACCGCAUCACUCUUCGGUCCAUCACAGAAGGGAAAAGAAAUGGGGUGUUGAAGGAGAAGCAUCGAUCUGCUUCGUCAUUUGAUGACAUCAUGGCGUGAAAACAGACCAUGGCAACAGCACGUAGAGUCGUAACGUACGGCCGUAAAAAUAAAAGCAUAUGACGGCCAAAGUGGACAAGCGAGGCUGCCAGAAGCGCAGCGAGCAGACAUCUGUGCACACGGAAGACCAGCACGGAAAAGACCUGAAGGCUGCGGGAGGUCAGCUGACUCAACGCUGAGGCAUUCUUUGCCGCUUCUUCUGCCAGCUGCACUAAACGACCGCUUAGUCGGUCGGUUUCGUCGGACAAUAAUGGCUCUUUUGAAAUCGGUUGAUUUAUUUUUUAUUUUUAUACAUAUUACACCAUAAGACAAAAAACGGCGUUCAAAAACCCCUUUAAUGAUUUCACAACCAUUUCUUUUCAUUGUGUGUUAAUGAAAACAAUAAAAUCUAAAAAAAGAUUCAUGUUCAUGGCAACCAAAAAAAAGACAAAUAUCAUGCCUUUGACUUUCUCAUGCCCCCCCCCCCCCAAUCCAUCCAUCCUGAGGUCAAGGCAGCUGCGUUUUCAACUGCAAUCUUCACUUUUUCAUUCUUCGCCUGUGUUUCACAUUUAGACCCAGGGGCCUCCGCUUGUAUUUGCCGCAGAUGUCGGCUUGGCAACUUCUAACUUGCUUCUCGUGCCUUUCGGGGGCUUUUCGACGCCAAAUGGUCAGUUGAGUUGAAUUAAGGAUAUAUGAUAUUAAGUUGACACUUUGUAAUGGGCUCUUUCCGAACAGCAUGGAAGUGUUUCAUUGCGCCGGAGUUGAUGGAUCAAAUUCCCCCGUGUUCUUCGUACCUGGACCAAGUUCAUCCAUCAUGGGAACAGUCGAAUUAUUUUGCGUUUGUAUGACCAGCACAGAUCCGGCAAAGAUUAAAAAUCUCAUUUUCUCUGCUCCUUAGUCAGAAACUGAUGUUUUUGCUGAAAUCAACCCACCUCAUACUGUUCGUUACCAACCCACCAACCAAGCUAGAACAAGCGGUUAGUUUUAUCUGAUUUAAUUCAGACUUAAUUUAUGCUCUUAAAACACAAACUUUGUCAUCUGUCAUGGUGUUUUUAAGUGCUCCCCUCCCUUCUUAUGUAAUGGACUCAUCUACCUUUCAUCACAAACAUGUGUUAAAACGGUCAAUUCUUGUUUUCGUCACUUGUUAAUAAUACUCCGGAGGGGUUUAAGGGACUUUACCUGAAAUAGGGAACUUAUCUCAAAUUUUUGAGGGCCCCACAACUGGGUUUGCCCUAUUCCCCGGGGGUUCAGAUCUGGAGGACCCGGUUCAGUUCACGAGAAGAGAGCACACGCAGUCAGUCGAUGGUUGUAAUAAAAACCAAAUCUGGGCUCGGCUUGCGGCCAUCUGUCACACUGACAGCUACUGUCUCAGCCGUGGCCUCCUGCAGGUGCUGCUGCUGAGGUCCACCAUCAGACAGACCCCCAUUUUUCUCUAGAAUCUAGAGCAGUGCUUCUCAAUUAUUUUCUGUUACGCCCCCCCCUAGCAAGAAGAAAACUAUUCGCGCCCCCCCUCCCCACCGUGACUAUCCUAACUUGUCUUGUAAGUCGUAAAAUGUUGCACUGUCGCAAACGUGACAGAAGUAACAAUGAGAGCGCCACUGCCCCCUGCUGUAGUAAACGCGCAAUUACACUUUAUUCUCGUACUGCCAAAAAAAAAGCCUGUUCCCCAGGGUCACACGCGCCCCCACAGGAGAUGGCGACAGCGUGGCAUCUGAAGACCAUGGAUUGUUUGUUCUGCUAUAGCCUAGGUGACUGAUUCACAAUUUGGUUUUGUCUGAUAAUAGAUAUUAAAUAAAGAAAACCAACUGGCUAAUUGAUUUGUUUUAAUUGAGAGAAAAAAAAACAUCAGCAAAAGCAUUUCACUAACUGACCAGGA
This is a long non-coding RNA of Syngnathus typhle (broad-nosed pipefish), 8190 nucleotides long. RefSeq lists it as uncharacterized. NCBI's taxonomy places the organism in Eukaryota, Metazoa, Chordata, Actinopteri, Syngnathiformes, Syngnathidae. The transcript has 4 exons. The record is from RefSeq and is a predicted model, not a curated record.